GGCCAGACUCCUACGGGAGGCAGCAGUGGGGAAUAUUGGACAAUGGGGGGAACCCUGAUCCAGCGACGCCGCGUGAGUGAAGAAGUAUUUCGGUAUGUAAAGCUCUAUCAGCAGGGAAGAAAGAAAUGACGGUACCUGAGUAAGAAGCACCGGCUAAAUACGUGCCAGCAGCCGCGGUAAUACGUAUGGUGCAAGCGUUAUCCGGAUUUACUGGGUGUAAAGGGAGCGCAGGCGGCACGGCAAGCCUGAUGUGAAAGCCCGCGGCCCAACCGCGGGACUGCAUUGGGAACUACCGGGCUGGAGUGCCGGAGAGGUAGGCGGAAUUCCUGGUGUAGCGGUGAAAUGCGUAGAUAUUAGGAGGAACAUCAGUGGCGAAGGCGACUUUCUGGACUGUAACUGACGCUGAGGCACGAAAGUGUGGGGAGCAAACAGGAUUAGAUACCCGAGUA
RNAcentral lists this ribosomal RNA (449 nucleotides) under uncultured bacterium. RNAcentral's name for it is "partial 16S ribosomal RNA". It matches the Rfam family "Bacterial small subunit ribosomal RNA", at positions 329 to 792 of the family's 1533-position model. The record is from RNAcentral.